GGGACUUCACCCCCAUACACAAACACAACACAUGACGGACUAUCCCGUUACUAUCAAAUAAUAUGGGACUUCACCCCCAUACACAAACACAACACAUGACGGACUAUCCCGUUACUAUCAAAUAAUAUGGGACUUCACCCCCAUACACAAACACAACACAUGACGGACUAUCCCGUUACUAUCAAAUAAUAUGGGACUUCACCCCCAUACACAAACACAACACAUGACGGACUAUCCCGUUACUAUCAAAUAAUAUGGGACUUCACCCCCAUACACAAACACAACACAUGACGGACUACAUCCCGUUGGCACCUGCCUCCGCAGAUCUUGUACUCAAAAUUCGGAUCAAAGCACCAAAUCUAAUUGCUUCCUUGAACCACUAAAGUAAUUCAAAGAAGCAGGGGGGCAAUGCUAGUACCUGCUAUCAUGAGUACCCGCUAACAGCCACCUAAACAAUGGAUUACGG
RNAcentral lists this long non-coding RNA (466 nucleotides) under Daucus carota (carrot). RNAcentral describes it as "long non-coding RNA (DCAR_LNC004261)". The record is from RNAcentral. Lineage: Eukaryota; Viridiplantae; Streptophyta; Magnoliopsida; Apiales; Apiaceae.